UACGAGAGGCCCAAACGUUAUUCGGAUUUACUGGGCUUAAAGAGUCCGUAGGCGGCGCAGAAAGUAGGGUGUGAAAGCCCUCGGCUCAACCGAGGAAUUGCGCCCUAAACUACCGUGCUCGAGGAAGAUAGAGGUGAGCGGAACUUACGGUGGAGCGGUGAAAUGCGUUGAUAUCGUAAGGAACACCCGUGGCGAAAGCGGCUCACUGGGUCUUUUCUGACGCUGAUGCACGAAAGCUAGGGGAGCAAACGGG
This 253-nucleotide ribosomal RNA is filed under the name uncultured bacterium. Its description in RNAcentral is "partial 16S ribosomal RNA". It matches the Rfam family "Bacterial small subunit ribosomal RNA", at positions 524 to 776 of the family's 1533-position model. The record is from RNAcentral.